AUUGAACGCUGGCGGCAUGCCUUACACAUGCAAGUCGAACGGCAGCAUGAUCUAGCUUGCUAGAUUGAUGGCGAGUGGCGGACGGGUGAGUAAUACAUCGGAACGUGCCCUGUAGUGGGGGAUAACUAGUCGAAAGAUUAGCUAAUACCGCAUACGACCUGAGGGUGAAAGUGGGGGACCGCAAGGCCUCAUGCUAUAGGAGCGGCCGAUGUCUGAUUAGCUAGUUGGUGAGGUAAAGGCUCACCAGGGCGACGAUCAGUAGCUGGUCUGAGAGGACGAUCAGCCACACUGGGACUGAGACACGGCCCAGACUCCUACGGGAGGCAGCAGUGGGGAAUUUUGGACAAUGGGCGAAAGCCUGAUCCAGCAAUGCCGCGUGUGUGAAGAAGGCCUUCGGGUUGUAAAGCACUUUUGUCCGGAAAGAAAUGGCUCUGGUUAAUACCUGGGGUCGAUGACGGUACCGGAAGAAUAAGGACCGGCUAACUACGUG
Molecule: ribosomal RNA, 490 nt
Filed under: uncultured bacterium
Lineage: Bacteria
Description: partial 16S ribosomal RNA
Rfam family: Bacterial small subunit ribosomal RNA
Source: RNAcentral